Lutra lutra (Eurasian river otter) is the source of this 379-nucleotide long non-coding RNA. RefSeq lists it as uncharacterized. NCBI's taxonomy places the organism in Eukaryota, Metazoa, Chordata, Mammalia, Carnivora, Mustelidae. The record is from RefSeq and is a predicted model, not a curated record. The transcript has 5 exons.
CAACCUUGGACAUACUGUCCUUGAUGGAAUCCAUACCAAUCAUUAAGCAAAUGACAUGAGGAGGACUAUAUUUAUUGAGUACUCUAAUGUGAAGCAAUUGCAUUGAAGGUCACAAUUAACAGCUUCCCUGCAUCUGUGGCCAUUGUGGUAUGACCUUGCAGAUUCUUCCAUCAAGAGGAAGUGAUAUUCAAUCAAUGUAUAAUAUAUUGAAACAGAGAAAAAGAAAAAGUAGUUAAAAGCAAGGAAUACCAUAGAUCUAACACUGAAUUCUUCUCAGUGCCUUAUGUUAGGAGCCCUGGAAUCAGCCAUUUCUCCAAGGACUCCUGGUACCCUUCAAUGGAGAAUAGUAUUUCAACAACAAGAUCUGAAUGUCGGGUAU